This 29-nucleotide non-coding RNA is filed under the name Rattus norvegicus (Norway rat). Lineage: Eukaryota; Metazoa; Chordata; Mammalia; Rodentia; Muridae. The record is from RNAcentral.
UCCUACUUCAAAAGAGGGCCAUUCAAGUU